Molecule: ribosomal RNA, 378 nt
Filed under: uncultured organism
Description: partial 16S ribosomal RNA
Rfam family: Bacterial small subunit ribosomal RNA
Source: RNAcentral
GAACCGUCCAAACGUUUAUUCGGAAUCACUGGGCUUAAAGGGUGCGUAGGCGGCUCUGCAAGUUGGGUGUGAAAUCCCUCGGCUCAACCGAGGAAUUGCGCCCAAAACCUGCCGGGCUUGAGGGAGAUAGAGGUGAGUGGAACUACGGGUGGAGCGGUGAAAUGCGUUGAUAUCCGUAGGAACACCGGUGGCGAAAGCGGCUCACUGGAUCUCUUCUGACGCUGAGGCACGAAAGCUAGGGGAGCGAACGGGAUUAGAUACCCCGGUAGUCCUAGCUGUAAACGAUGAGCACUAGAUCGUAGGGAUUUCCCAUGUCCUUUCGGUCGAACUGAAAACGAUUAAGUGCUCCGCCUGGGGGUAGUAUGGCCCGCAAGGCUG